Molecule: small RNA, 29 nt
Filed under: Arabidopsis thaliana (thale cress)
Lineage: Eukaryota; Viridiplantae; Streptophyta; Magnoliopsida; Brassicales; Brassicaceae
Description: ATSL137130
Source: RNAcentral
CCGUCUACUUUUUUUUUUCCUUUUUUUUU